GCCUGGAUAGCUCAGUUGGUUAGAGCAUAAUGGGGAUAAUGCCAAGGUUGCAGGUUCAAUCCCCGUGUGGGCC
Molecule: non-coding RNA, 73 nt
Organism: Podarcis lilfordi (Lilford's wall lizard)
Lineage: Eukaryota; Metazoa; Chordata; Lepidosauria; Squamata; Lacertidae
Source: the annotation of a GenBank genome assembly